AACGAACGCUGGCGGCAUGCCUAAUACAUGCAAGUCGAACGAGAUCUUCGGAUCUAGUGGCGCACGGGUGCGUAACGCGUGGGAAUCUACCCUUGGGUUCGGAAUAACAGUUAGAAAUGACUGCUAAUACCGGAUGAUGACGUAAGUCCAAAGAUUUACCGCUCAAGGAUGAGCCCGCGUAGGAUUAGCUAGUUGGUGAGGUAAAAGCUCACCAAGGCGACGAUCCUUAGCUGGUCUGAGAGGAUGAUCAGCCACACUGGGACUGAGACACGGCCCAGACUCCUACGGGAGGCAGCAGUAGGGAAUAUUGGACAAUGGGGGCAACCCUGAUCCAGCAAUGCCGCGUGAGUGAUGAAGGCCUUAGGGUUGUAAAGCUCUUUUACCCGAGAUGAUAAUGACAGUAUCGGGAGAAUAAGCUCCGGCUAACUCCGUGCCAGCCGCCGCAGUAA
This 449-nucleotide ribosomal RNA is filed under the name uncultured bacterium. RNAcentral describes it as "partial 16S ribosomal RNA". It matches the Rfam family "Bacterial small subunit ribosomal RNA", at positions 29 to 523 of the family's 1533-position model. The record is from RNAcentral.